Ornithodoros turicata is the source of this 1801-nucleotide long non-coding RNA. RefSeq lists it as uncharacterized. NCBI's taxonomy places the organism in Eukaryota, Metazoa, Arthropoda, Arachnida, Ixodida, Argasidae. The transcript has 3 exons. The record is from RefSeq and is a predicted model, not a curated record.
UUCCCUUACGCAUGUGCUAGCAGACAGCGGUUUGUUUGCUUGAGUAGCUUGAGCAUGGCUUGAGGAUGAGAUUUGUGGUAGUGGUGAAGCAGCUUUGCCAAAUAUUCCGUUCAAGUUCCUCGCUGGAUGUCCGGCUCGUCCGUCGAUGUUCAACAGAUGCAACAAGUGCCUGUCCACUUUUUCUCAGCUGCACCUUCUCAGUCCAGGCAGCAGCAGCAGCACCAGGUGAAUGUAGGUACACAACUUCCAAGUGAAUUGCAAUUCUGAAGCCGAUUUUCAGGCAUGGGGAGAAGAAAUGCAGGAUGCAACCACCCUCAUGGUGGUGUACAAGUAUUGCCUUGUAGUGAGGUGAAUUGGAUCCUUUGAAACGUGCCAUCCAGCACACCCCGAAUACUGAGCUGCAGUGCAAUGCCGUCAUGUAGUUUCCCUAACAUAAACAAAUAGUUUCUUGAAGGUAAAAAAAGGACAUUCCAGUACAACAUAGUGUUUUACAAGUGCCUGCACGGGCCGCCUCUAUUGCAUCUUCGUCUGUUUUUGUCAGUGGGGUGUGGGACAGCCCAAAAUCAUGUGCAUAAUAGGAAGCUUGGAAGACAAACGAGACCUUGCCAGUUUGGAACAUUGCACACAUAUCAGCAAGGCAGGUGUCCCCACGCUUGACGGAACCUUGUGAUUUGACGGACCUUUUCCUUUGAUGUGUCCUCUCUAUAAAAGCACCUGAUCAGUUACAAAUAUAAUAACACUUUAAACCAGAGAGUCGAACCGAACCCGAACCGAAAACCGUUAUUUUUGGCCGAACCGGAACUGAACCGAACCGAAAGAGUCGACGCCAUCUUGGAGCUGAACCGGAACUAAACCGGUAAAGAAAUACCGGUUUCCGGUUCAAAUAACGGUUCACACGGAAUUAAGUGCGAAACUUUGGAUGUUGUGCAUCAACACAAAAACUAUUUUUCGUAUUUUUUCUUCAUUUAUUAGCUCCGUAGACAUCCUCUUGCUUGCCGAAACAGUUGGGCCCUCCCAACAAUGAUUUGGAUCUUCUCGAGUCACGAAAUAGCAACAGAUAGUAACUUAAAACUGCUAGGACUACUAACGUCUAUGACAUACAAUAUAUAUAUAUGCUUAUAUAUAUAUAUAAGCAUUAGGGAUCAACAAGAAAUGAGGGACAGUUUUGGGUAGUAGUCAAUAAGUGACAUAUUAUAAUAAUAUACUAAUCAGAGUCAGCUAUACACAGGGUGUCCACCCUAGCAGCAGAAAUGAUCGCUGGUACAUAGCACCGUCAAUGGGAAACUGACACUCUCCUAUGACGUUUGCGUCAGAAGCAGGCACUGCACUUCAGGAUCAGUCCGUUUGUAACACAAACCUGUCAGUUUUUCUUUGACAGCGCUAUGUCUUCGAAAUCAUCUCUACCGUUAUCGCAGGCAUCCUGAUAAAUGCGAAUAGCGGACCAACCGACGUAUAUGUCGUCAUGGGGUAACUUCGCCAAUAAUCGUGGCGGUUACCGUGGUACAGGGAGCAUCUCAAUGAAGUCUACUGAGGGACGCUCGCAUAUUUUCUGUGGUAGGUAGUCCUCUGGGACUACCCAAAUCCCAGAGCAAGAGGGUUAGCACGCCCCUCCCUCUCCUGUGCCACCAUCAUCUCUCCCCUCCCUCUUUCACCCUCCCCCUUCUUCCUUCCCUGGGUGCACCGAGCCGCCACUUCAGAGUAGGCUGACCGCACCUUCCCCCUACAUCACGCCCUCCCCCGUAUAUGUCGUCGGCUGUGCACCUUCAAAUAUUCUCCCCUUCGUCUUUCUUUUUCUUCUUCC